AGAGUUUGAUCCUGGCUCAGAUUGAACGCUGGCGGCAGGCCUAACACAUGCAAGUCGAACGGUAGCACAGAGAGCUUGCUCUUGGGUGACGAGUGGCGGACGGGUGAGUAAUGUCUGGGAAACUGCCCGAUGGAGGGGGAUAACUACUGGAAACGGUAGCUAAUACCGCAUAAUGUCUUCGGACCAAAGUGGGGGACCUUCGGGCCUCACACCAUCGGAUGUGCCCAGAUGGGAUUAGCUAGUAGGUGGGGUAAUGGCUCACCUAGGCGACGAUCCCUAGCUGGUCUGAGAGGAUGACCAGCCACACUGGAACUGAGACACGGUCCAGACUCCUACGGGAGGCAGCAGUGGGGAAUAUUGCACAAUGGGCGCAAGCCUGAUGCAGCCAUGCCGCGUGUAUGAAGAAGGCCUUCGGGUUGUAAAGUACUUUCAGCGGGGAGGAAGGCGUUAAGGUUAAUUU
This 460-nucleotide ribosomal RNA is filed under the name uncultured Gammaproteobacteria bacterium. Its description in RNAcentral is "bacterial SSU rRNA". It matches the Rfam family "Bacterial small subunit ribosomal RNA", at positions 8 to 465 of the family's 1533-position model. Lineage: Bacteria; Pseudomonadati; Pseudomonadota; Gammaproteobacteria. The record is from RNAcentral.